UGGCACCAGGAGCCUCUGCCAUGACAGGCUCACAGUGCAGUUGAGGCUGCAAGGCCGCUCCUCAGAUCCACGUGGACAGUCCCCAGGGUAUGAUGUGACAGCUCUGGGAUGCAGUGACACAGGCAUCCUGGUCUUCCUGACAUAGGUGCCGUUCCCGCCCAUGGACAGUGCCCUCUGAGGGAGGCUCCUGCCGCCCCCACCUUCCUGAGGAAGAGAGAGGUGAAGAGACCCACACCUGCCCAGGACACUGGAUGCACAGGAGAAACAUCCCAGCGGGAGGGGAGCCAGGAGGCUGACUCCAACCUGGCCUGACCGCUCUGUGCACACCUGCACCACAGACUGCUCUCAGCACUCAAGCUGCCCCGAGCCUGUGGUCACCGCCGCACGCCAUACCUUCCCUCGAUCAAACUCUUCAUCCCAGUCGUCAAGGAUGGUCUGGGUCCGGGCCAGUCUGCUGUCUUUGAUAGCAUCCUGACUGACCGCUGAAGGCUCACCAUCCCAGGUCAAAACUGCACAAGACAGGGUCCAAGGUCAUAAGAGGCGCUUGUCCCAGCCCUGUAAUCAGAAGACACACUGAAACCGAGUCACUGAAGAGACGACCACACGUUUGUAACGGCACCACAGGACGAGCUGCCAAACUGCUCCCUUCCCAGUGACGACCCUACCCCAUGUCCAAAACAACAAAAGCCAGCAGCACGAGACCCCAUCCUCUGUCUGACAGAAGAAGGGGACUAGCUCUAAGGGAAGCCUCCUAGCCAGCCACAAAGGGCCUGCUGCCGUGGAGACCUUCAAGUCCCCCACAGGCCCAUGCCCUAGAGGCCUGGACCCGAGAAGGCGGCUGCUCCAGGUGUUCAGGUCACUGGCUUGCCCUCCCUGGGAAGAGUAGGACCACAGCCACCCUUUCCCUCUCUCUCUGGCUUCCUGACCACAGUGGCAGUUUUGCUCUGCCAUGUGUCACUGUGACAAGCUGUACCAGAGGCCCAGAACUGCAUGGGGCACGGAGCCGAGACUAGAGCUCUGCCUGCCUCCCUCUCAAGCUCUUGGGUUAUACACUCAGGCACUAUGCCCAGCCACGCUUUUUCUCUAAGACGACCAUCUCAGGUAUUAGCUAGUGACAGAAAGCUGACAUCGGUUAGUGCUCCCAGGAGCCUGCAAUGAGGAACAGUAAGUUGCCACCUCGGUGGCUAUCAGCAGGAGUCCUCACCUAGGC
This is a non-coding RNA of Peromyscus maniculatus bairdii (prairie deer mouse), 1210 nucleotides long. The record is from RefSeq and is a predicted model, not a curated record. Lineage: Eukaryota; Metazoa; Chordata; Mammalia; Rodentia; Cricetidae.